GUAGGUGGCAAGCGUUGUCCGGAAUUAUUGGGCGUAUAGCGCGCGCAGGCGGUUCUUUAAGUCUGAUGUGAAAGCCCACGGCUCAACCGUGGAGGGUCAUUGGAAACUGGAGAACUUGAGUACAGAAGAGGAAAGCGGAAUUCCACGUGUAGUGGUGAAAUGCGUAGAGAUGUGGAGGAACACCAGUGGCGAAGGCGGCUUUCUGGUCUGUAACUGACGCUGAGGCGCGAAAGCGUGGGGAGCAAACAGGAUUAGAUACCCUGGUAGUCCACGCCGUAAACGAUGAGUGCUAAGUGUUAGGGGGUUUCCGCCCCCCUUAGUGCUGCAGCUAACGCAUUAAGCACUCCGCCUGGGAGUACGGCCGCAAGGCUG
Molecule: ribosomal RNA, 372 nt
Filed under: uncultured organism
Description: partial 16S ribosomal RNA
Rfam family: Bacterial small subunit ribosomal RNA
Source: RNAcentral